AAAAAAUUAAUUUCAAAACAUCUAAACCAUCAUUUUUUAAUCAAAUUAAAAAAUUUUAAUACUUUAUUUUUUAUUUCCUUAUCUUCUUUUAAAAAAUUUUCAUACUUUAAAAACCUUCGUUACACCUCUUCUGUACAACGCCCAAACUUCGGUGGAAGCCGGUGGAGAUUUCCGACUCCCCAGCUGAUUUUGUUGAUGGGCUAUACACAAUUUGUGGGGUUGGCAUCUCCUUCCAUCGCCAUAGAUAUGCUCUUCACAUGUAAUUGGCAUUUCACAAAAAGUUUGUUCACCAUCUUUUGUUUAUAUAUGAAAUCAAUUUUCCUUGAAAU
Molecule: unclassified non-coding RNA, 329 nt
Filed under: Hevea brasiliensis (rubber tree)
Lineage: Eukaryota; Viridiplantae; Streptophyta; Magnoliopsida; Malpighiales; Euphorbiaceae
Source: RNAcentral